RNAcentral lists this ribosomal RNA (460 nucleotides) under uncultured bacterium. RNAcentral describes it as "partial 16S ribosomal RNA". It matches the Rfam family "Bacterial small subunit ribosomal RNA", at positions 338 to 795 of the family's 1533-position model. The record is from RNAcentral.
CCUACGGGUGGCAGCAGUGAGGAAUAUUGGUCAAUGGACGAGAGUCUGAACCAGCCAAGUAGCGUGAAGGAUGACUGCCCUAUGGGUUGUAAACUUCUUUUAUAUGGGAAUAAAACGUUCCACGUGUGGGAUUUUGUAUGUACCAUAUGAAUAAGGAUCGGCUAACUCCGUGCCAGCAGCCGCGGUAAUACGGAGGAUCCGAGCGUUAUCCGGAUUUAUUGGGUUUAAAGGGAGCGUAGGUGGAUUGUUAAGUCAGUUGUGAAAGUUUGCGGCUCAACCGUAAAAUUGCAGUUGAAACUGGCAGUCUUGAGUACAGGAGAGGUGGGCGGAAUUCGGGGUGUAGCGGUGAAAUGCUUAGAUAUCACGAAGAACUCCGAUUGCGAAGGUAGUUCACUGGACUGCAACUGACACUGAGGCUCGAAAGUGUGGGUAUCAAACAGGAUUAGAUACCCGUGUAGUC